AACGCGAAGAACCUUACCCAGGCUUGACAUCCGAGGAACUCUUAAGAGAUUAAGAGGUGCCUUUCGGGGAACCUCGAGACAGGUGCUGCAUGGCUGUCGUCAGCUCGUGUCGUGAGAUGUUGGGUUAAGUCCCGCAACGAGCGCAACCCACGUCUUUAGUUGCCAGCAUUUAGUUGGGCACUCUAGAGAGACUGCCGGUAAUAAACCGGAGGAAGGUGGGGAUGACGUCAAAUCAUCAUGCCCCUUAUGACCUGGGCUACACACGUGCUACAAUGGUUGGUACAACGAGUCGCAAGCCGGUGACGGCAAGCUAAUCUCUUAAAGCCAAUCUCAGUUCGGAUUGUAGGCUGCAACUCGCCUACAUGAAGUCGGAAUCGCUAGUAAUCGCGGAUCAGCACGCCGCGGUGAAUACGUUCCCGGGCCUUGUACACACCG
This 435-nucleotide ribosomal RNA is filed under the name uncultured bacterium. RNAcentral describes it as "bacterial SSU rRNA". It matches the Rfam family "Bacterial small subunit ribosomal RNA", at positions 958 to 1392 of the family's 1533-position model. The record is from RNAcentral.